AUACUUACCUUGACGGGGUCAAUGGGCGAUCAUGAAGGCCCAUGGCCUAGGUUGGCCACCUCCAUUGCACUUUGGAGGGGUGCUUGCCUAAGGUCGACCCAAGUGGUCGAGCCUACGUCAUAAUUUGUGGCAGCGGGGGCCUGCGUUUGUGUGGCCCCUAC
Molecule: non-coding RNA, 161 nt
Organism: Capsicum annuum
Lineage: Eukaryota; Viridiplantae; Streptophyta; Magnoliopsida; Solanales; Solanaceae
Source: Rfam